UACAGAGGGGGCAAGCGUUAUUCGGAAUUAUUGGGCGUAAAGGGCGCGUAGGCGGCGAUUCAAGUGACGGGUGAAAUCCCUCGGCUUAACCGAGGAACUGCCUGUCAGACUGGGUUGCUUGAGACCGGGAGAGGUGAGUGGAAUUCCCAGUGUAGCGGUGAAAUGCGUAGAUAUUGGGAGGAACACCAGUGGCGAAGGCGGCUCGCUGGACCGGAACUGACGCUGAGGCGCGAAAGCGUGGGGAGCAAACAGG
This 253-nucleotide ribosomal RNA is filed under the name uncultured bacterium. RNAcentral describes it as "partial 16S ribosomal RNA". It matches the Rfam family "Bacterial small subunit ribosomal RNA", at positions 524 to 776 of the family's 1533-position model. The record is from RNAcentral.